UACGUAGGAGGCAAGCGUUGUCCGGAAUUACUGGGCGUAAAGCGCGUGUAGGUGGUGGGACAAGUCUGCUGUGAAAGCGCCUGGCUUAACCGGGCGAGGUCGGCGGAAACUGUCCGACUCGAGGACGGUAGAGGGGGGUGGAAUUCCCGGUGUAGUGGUGAAAUGCGUAGAGAUCGGGAGGAACACCUGUGGCGAAGGCGGCCCCCUGGGCCG
Molecule: ribosomal RNA, 213 nt
Filed under: uncultured bacterium
Lineage: Bacteria
Description: partial 16S ribosomal RNA
Rfam family: Bacterial small subunit ribosomal RNA
Source: RNAcentral